GCUCUCGUGGUCUAGUAGAAUGAUACGCGCUUUGGGUGCACUUUCCCUCCAAGUGAACGCAUGCGCGGGGUCCCGGGUUCAAAUCCCGGCGAGGGUC
Mycena haematopus is the source of this 97-nucleotide non-coding RNA. The record is from the annotation of a GenBank genome assembly. Lineage: Eukaryota; Fungi; Basidiomycota; Agaricomycetes; Agaricales; Mycenaceae.